Molecule: non-coding RNA, 386 nt
Organism: Paramuricea clavata
Lineage: Eukaryota; Metazoa; Cnidaria; Anthozoa; Malacalcyonacea; Plexauridae
Source: the annotation of a GenBank genome assembly
CUAGAAAUAAACUAGAAAUAUACGAAAAUCUUCCAAAUUAUUUUUCAAGUCUUAUAAACCAAAAACCAACCUCGAACUCAACUCGAGCGUAUACUGGUAUUUUUAAAAUAUCACGUCUGUUAGUGCGGUCAAAUUUGAAACAAAAUACUCUAAAUAAUUUCAUUGCUGCAUGUGUAAAUGAGUAUAACUAAUAAUAACUGAUGUACCUGUGGGGGUGAUGAACUACAGAGACAUCCUUGCCAACAUGCGGCAAUUAAUGAACUUUGUUUUUCCGUGUUGAUAACUGUGCAAAACGAAGGGCAAGAGCUCUUUGUUCAACAAAUAGCGGAAACAGAUUACUUCUGUUGGUGGAACAGUCGAUUAUAGUCGAUUACUUCUGUUGGUGG